Molecule: long non-coding RNA, 853 nt
Organism: Dreissena polymorpha
Lineage: Eukaryota; Metazoa; Mollusca; Bivalvia; Myida; Dreissenidae
Exons: 2
Source: RefSeq, a predicted model, not a curated record
UGAAACUUCAUAGGUACAUUGAUCAUGACUGGCAGAUGACCCCUAUUGAUUUUCAGGUCAGUAGGUCAAAGGUCAAGGUCACAGUGACUCGAAACAGUAAAAUGGUUUCCGGAUGAUAACUCAAGAAUGCUUAUGCCUAGGAUCAUGAAACUUCAUAGGAACAUUGAUCAUGACUGGCAGAUGACCCCUAUUGAAUUUCAGGUCACUAGGUCAAAGGUCAAGGUCACAGUGACUCAAAACAGUAAAAUGGUUUCCGGAUGAUAACUCAAGAAUAAUUAGGCCUAGGAUCAUGAAACUUCAUAGGUACAUUGAUCAUGACUGGCAGAUGACCCCUAUUGAUUUUCAGGUCACUAGGUCAAAGGUCAAGGUCACAGUGACAAAAAACGUAUUCACACAAUGGCUGUCACUACAACUGACAGCCCAUAUGGGGGGAUGCAUGUUUUACAAACAGCCCUUGUUUUACAUAUCAUUUCAGGUCUUUUAUUUUGUAACCCUCAUUUAGGCCCAAUUUUCUGUAUGUCAACAUAGUUUAUUUAAAUUCAAGUGCAAAUAUUUCAAUCUAUGUUGUAUAUAUGCAUUCAUAUUUCAAAAGAGAUUCUUAAAGAUCAUGAAAAUUAUGUAUAAUUUUACAAUUUAUUGUUAAACACAAGUUCAUCUUUUUCUCUAUUUUUUUUCUUAUCUUCAGCUUCACCCAUGAUAUUGUACUUUUUCAUUGCAAUUAAAAGGUGAAUUCAUACAAAUCUAGUUAUAUUUCACAUUAAUUGAACAGUAUUUAGUCAUAUAUAUAAUUUCUUCUACCAUAGAUUUCUUUUUGAUACAAUAUUUAAAAGUAGUUGAAUAAAUGUGUAGAGUA